Molecule: ribosomal RNA, 465 nt
Filed under: Vreelandella stevensii
Lineage: Bacteria; Pseudomonadati; Pseudomonadota; Gammaproteobacteria; Oceanospirillales; Halomonadaceae
Description: partial 16S ribosomal RNA
Rfam family: Bacterial small subunit ribosomal RNA
Source: RNAcentral
CCUACGGGUGGCAGCAGUGGGGAAUAUUGGACAAUGGGGGGAACCCUGAUCCAGCCAUGCCGCGUGUGUGAAGAAGGCCCUCGGGUUGUAAAGCACUUUCAGUGAGGAAGAACGCCUGGUGGUUAAUACCCAUCAGGAAAGACAUCACUCACAGAAGAAGCACCGGCUAACUCCGUGCCAGCAGCCGCGGUAAUACGGAGGGUGCGAGCGUUAAUCGGAAUUACUGGGCGUAAAGCGCGCGUAGGUGGCUUGAUAAGCCGGUUGUGAAAGCCCCGGGCUCAACCUGGGAACGGCAUCCGGAGCUGUCAAGCUAGAGUGCAGGAGAGGAAGGUAGAAUUCCCGGUGUAGCGGUGAAAUGCGUAGAGAUCGGGAGGAAUACCAGUGGCGAAGGCGGCCUUCUGGACUGACACUGCCACUGAGGUGCGAAAGCGUGGGUAGCACACAGGAUUAGAUACCCCUGUAGUC